This is a long non-coding RNA of Salvelinus sp. IW2-2015, 710 nucleotides long. RefSeq lists it as uncharacterized. The record is from RefSeq and is a predicted model, not a curated record. Lineage: Eukaryota; Metazoa; Chordata; Actinopteri; Salmoniformes; Salmonidae.
UGUGUCCUUCGCCGGGGAGGCUAUCCCAUAACACCUUAUGGCACAGAACAUUUAAAAAAAAAAAAGAAAACACAUGACUUCGUGAAAUGGACCAAAGUGGGCACCUAAUCACGUUUCACUUCAUUGUAUUGACUUAGCAGGAGAAAAGUCCUGCCUGACUCAUUUUGGGGGUUGAAGGAAAUCCCAACCUGACAUCGUGCCGAUGUAAAGAACUUAUCCUGGUGGAUGAACCUUCCAUCCACCAGGAUAAUCAUUAUAUCCUAGGAUAUUAUUCAGGAGUGUGCAACAUUGCAAUGUUAGAUAGAAAUAGAUUCACACAUGUUGUUGUUUAUCAUGCAGAUUUGUCAGGACAUCGUAAUUUAUGAAGCUCGUUCUAAAAUGCAGAUGUGAUAUCUGUGCCAGGGGAUUGCGCUGUGUGCAAGUCUUCAAUUUAGACUACAAUUAGUUGAAUUAGGUGUUAGCGAAGGGCUGGAACAAAACCUGUAAUAUCCUGUCCUGUGUAUAAAAAAAACCUGUGGCUGUCAUGACUAAAUUUGCCCUCAUGUACUGAACAAGUUUAUGAAUGUUGGAGGUUAAUCUUGAGAUGUCCCUCACGUGGGAAUGACUUAUUUUGUACAAUAUACUGUGUUUUAAGGACUCAUGCACAGAUACAGAACCCUCCCCCCCUAAAUGUUACCAUAUAUUCCAAAUUAAAAGUGUUGAUGUCUCCA